RNAcentral lists this long non-coding RNA (8923 nucleotides) under Nicotiana benthamiana. Its description in RNAcentral is "long non-coding RNA (NBEN_LNC014601)". The record is from RNAcentral. Lineage: Eukaryota; Viridiplantae; Streptophyta; Magnoliopsida; Solanales; Solanaceae.
CCGCCAAAAAACCUAAACAUAGAUCCUCAAUACCCAAACGGCAGCCACCCUAUCUCCUCCGCCUCUCUGCCGCGAAACAACCACUAUAAGCCACUGGAGAAUUCCCUCCCACGCUCUUGGUCCCCUACUCCUCUACUCUUUCCUCCACGUGGCAUGACAAGUUACAAACCCGAAUAUUCGCUCAUUCUCAUCUCUCUUCUCACGUGUUUAGAGUCUCUAGAAGGCAUAUGUUGGAUGAAUGGGGAGCAUAGGAUCCAUUUCAAUUGAUCAAAACCUUCAUUAAUCAAGUUUUUGCCUGAUAUAUAUAGGAAUUUUGGAAGAAGAAAAGUGUGGUUCUGGAGACAUAUUUUUGGAGUUUUAUUGAAAGGUAAAGGAAAACUAGGGUUUCAAAAACAAUCUUCAGUCUUGCUCUCAUAUUUAAGUUCAUAAAGACUCCAGAAAAAAAAUACAUAUAUAUAUCUCUUUAUUUUUCUAUUUCUUCUUUGAAUCUCGAGUUAGAGUUGAAUUGAAGUUUGAGUUUGAUUUCGUGUUUGGAUUUGAAAUAACGGUGUCGAUUAGAAUUCUAGUCUGAGGUUUUUCUGUCUGUUUCAUUUGCUUGUUUCUUCGUUGGAAUUUUGGGAAUUGAAGCCGAGCUUCCGUUGAAUCAUCUAUUGUUAUUUACAGAGAAGAUUGACUUUACAGGUUCAUUUCCGCAUCUCUCUUCUUUAUUCGAAUUUGUUUGGAGUGGAUUGAGUAGGAGUCCUUAAAAAUGGAUUAAAUAAGCAGUGAUUUCGAAGAUUGUGUUGAACUUUCCUUUGAUUAGAGUUUACGUUUUGUGUCGAUUGUGUGUUCAAUGAAUUCUUCUGGUGAAACCUCCUAGAUGAUAAAGGAGAAUGAACUGUUUAGAUCCCUAUUUGGUUCAGUCAGAUUAAUAUUGGAGUGUUAGAACCAAUUGCGAUGAAACUGUGUAAUCAACAUGUCAAUCGGAAGCUGAUCUGUCACUAUUUUUGCUUAUGAUUAAGUAGUUGAAGGCCUUUAGCCAUAAGAGUAGCAUUUUCUUUGAUUUUAUCUCUGUUUAAGGUUUAGAGUUCUGAGUAUGGAUUUUUCAUCAUACUCUUUGAAACAUGCUUACAAAUAAAAUCAUGCUUUCGUGGAAAUAUGUGUAAAUGUCUCCUUGUGGCUUCAUUUUAUUCGAUCAGAUUUCAUGUUGGAUUUCCAUGAUUUUCUUGGAUUGAAUGAUUUUCAUUCUCCCAUUGUCAGUGAUUCAUUGGUGUUAUUGAGUCAAGCUUUAAGUUUAAGCUAGCUUGUUUGCAUUUUGUGUUCCAUGUCUCUUUAUACUGCAAAUGUUAGUUUUGUUAUGCUCUCCUAGCCACUAUUGGAUAAUAUGGAUUGAUAUCUCUUGGAAAUGUUUGUCAAGCAUGUCAUUAGUAUAAUAAAUGCAAAUUGAUUGAGGUUAGUCAUUCAUGUCAUGAAUAUUGUUUGACUAAUGAGAAGAAGUAUGUAAGUAUGCAUGUUUUGGUGUCCCACGUUGAUUCAUUGUUUCCAUCUUUGGUGGGAGUGUCCUAAUUGAAAAUAUAAUUCAAUCGUCAGCUAAGAGCUCCAGCUCUCAUGUCGAAAAAUGAAAUUGGUGGCCAGCAUUCCUCGAGUGUUUGUCUGACUUUGAAUGCCAGAACCAUUAGCCAACUUUGUGAAGAAAUGAUGUUCAAAUGUUUCUGUUGUGAAAGACCGUACAUGUAUAAUUCUUGAUGUAUUUGAACGUUGUAUAUGGUUACACGUUUGGGAUGUUCCAUUGUGCUUUGUCUUGAAUGCUUGAAUGGGCCGUGUGGAUUGGUAAAGGCCUAGCCCAUUAUUGAUUUAAUCACUCACAUGUUUAGGAAUUGGGCUAGGUCGAAUGCUUGAAACAAAAGCUUAAAAGGGAAUGAGCUUGAAAUUUAGUAAAAGUAUUCUAUUAUCACGAGCCUUUGAACACAAUCAUCGAAUUAGGGAUUACAUAAUUCAUGAGCGUCGUAGCUUGCUUUAGGCAAGAUUUAAUCUUUCAUCAUAAUUGUGUAUACGUUCGUAUGACAUAAUUACGAUUCUAAAAACAAAUCGAGGUAUGUAUUCGCGUAACUUCGACCAAACUUUCUUAAUAAUGAUAAAAAGUGUAAUUAAUUGUGGAUACGUAUGCAUGACAUAAUUUUUUAUGUGCCAAAUAAAACAAGUACAUGUACGCGUGACUCAUUUUAAAAUAACUUCUUAAUUAUGAAUAAAUCAAGCAAUUAAAAACGAUUAAGGGGUAAAUACACAUGGAUUUAAAAAUAAGUAAUUAGAUAAUUUAAUUAAGUCAAGUAUUAUUAAAGGGAUCGUGCUAAAAUCAUGGAACACGAGAAUACCUAAUACUUUCUUCCGGGUUAAUAGAUUUUCUUACCCGAAAUUAUGUGUUUAGCGGACUGUAAAACAGAGUUAAACUUACUCUAUUCAGGAUUUUAAACCGAUGACUUGGGACACCAUAAAUUAUCCUAAGUGGUGACUCUGAAUUUGAAUAUGAAUAAUCCUAUUUCGAUUAUUGUUACUUUAUUGAAAAAACUCCCUUAUACUCCCUUUUAGGGUAAAAAAGAAGGUGUGAUAAUGACCAGAGAGAGAGUAUUUGGUGCUACUUUUGAUGAGGUUGUUGACAUAGCUCGACAAAUUAAGACGGUUCUUGGUAAGGAGAGGGUUGAGAGGAAGGCCAAGAGGCCUCGUGGUCAGGGUGGAUUCAGUGGUGCUCCUCUCGGGGGCCAGUUUCAGUACGGCAGAGGCCGUCCAUUUAGAUAUGCUCAGUCAGCUCUCCCCUCAUUAACUCUAUUAAUAACUUAGUUCCCUUCCAGCUUAGAGUUCAUUCGUGCUCCACCAGUUCAGCGCUCUUCCAUGCCAUGUUCUUCUGCUAGUCUCCUGAUGCUAGGGGUUUCCUUCACUCAACAUCUCCAGCGCCAAUGGGUUAUUUUGAGUGUGGAGGGUUGGGGAAUAUGUGGAUGCAAUGUCCUCGUCGUCAUGAGGGUCCACCUCAUCAGAGGAGUCAGCCAUCAACUUCAGCACCAGUUGCUUCACCACCCACCCACCCAGCCAGAGGUUGAGGAUAGUCAGCUAGCGGUCGUCCUAGAGGGGGAGGCCGAUCAGGUGGUGGUCAGGCUCGUUACGCACAUCCAGCCAGACCAGAUACUAUUGCUUCAGAUGUUGUGAUUACAAGUAUUGUGUCAUUCUGCCAUAGAGAUUCCUCUGUGUUAUUUGACCCUGGUUCCACUUUGUCAUAUGUGUCAUCAUAUUUUACUCAUUAUUUGAAUAUGUCUCAUGAGUCUCUUGUUUCAUCUGUUUGUGUAUCUACUCGGUGGGUGAUACUAUUUUUAUGGACCGCGUAUAUUGAUCGUGUAUGUGAUUAUUGGGUGUUAGAGACCCAAGUGGACCUUCUAUUGCUUCGUAUGGUUGAUUUUGAUGUGAUAUUAGGCAUGGAUUAGUUAUCUCUAUGUCGUGUUAUUUUGGACUGACAUGCUAAGACAAUGAUGUUGGCCAUGCCGGGUGUGCCACGGAUUGAGUGGAGAGUCUCGACUGAUUUUGUUUCUAGUAGGGUGAUUUUAUUUUUGAAGGCUCAAGGGAUGGCUAGAAAGGAUUGUCUUUCUUACUUGGCCUCCAUGAGGGAUGUUAGUGAAGAGACCCCUACCAUUGAUUCAAUCCCAAUAGUGAGUGACUUUUCGGAUGUGUUUUCUGCAGACCUACCAAUUAUGCCACUAGACAGAGGGAUAUUGACUUUGGUAUUGAUUUGGUGUCGGGCAAUCGGCCCAUUGUUAUUCAAUCAUAUCGUAUGGCACCAGUGGAGUUGAAGGAUCAGCUUCAGAAACUCCUUGAUAAAGGGUUUAUUCGGCCUAGUGUGUCGCCGUUGAUGCACGUGUUCUAUUUGUGAAGAAGAAGGAUGACACGAUGAGGAUGUGCAUUGAUUACAAACAAUUGGAAAAAGUCACAAUCAAGAAAAAGUAUCAUUUGCCUCAUAUUGAUUAUUUAUUUGACCACCUUUAGGGAGCGAGGGUGUUCACCACAAUUGAUCUUAGGUCGGUGUAUCAUCAGUUGAAGAUCGGGGACUCAUAUAUUCUUAAGAAAGCUUUAUGCAAAGUUCUCUAAGUGUGGGUUUUGGCUUAGUUCAUUGGCUUUCUUAGGGCUUGCGUUGUCCAGUGAGGAUAUUUAGGUUGAUCCGAAGAAAAUAGAGGCGGUUCAGAGUUGGCCUAGACCAUCCUCAGCCACAGAUAUUCACAGUUUUCUUGGGUUGGCAGUUUAUCACCAUUGGUUCGUUCAGGGAUUUUCAUCUGUUGCAUCACCCUUGACCAAGUUGACUUAAAAGGGUCCUUCUUUCAGGUGGUCGUAUGAGAAUGGGGUUAGUUUUAAGACGCUUAAGACUGCUUACACCGCAGCUCCAGUGUUAGUUUCGUCAUCAACUUCAGGUUCUUAUAUGAUAUGUUGUGAUGCUUCUUGAGUUGGAAUUGGGUGUGUGUUGAUGCAGGAUGGUAGAGUUAUUGCUUAUGCUUCUCGUCAAUUGAAGACCCAUGAGAAAACUACAUUGUUCACGAUUUGGAGCUAGUUGCCAUUGUUCAUGCAUUGAAGAUUUGGAGGCAUUAUCUCUAAGGUGUGUCUUGUGAAAUGUUUACUGAUCAUUGUAGCCUCCAGCACUUGUUCAAGCAGAAGGAUCACAACUGGAGGCAGCGACGAUGGUUAGAUCUGCUAAAGGACUAAGAUAUUACUAUUCUGUACCAUCAGCGGAAGGCCAAUGUAGUGGCUGAUGCCUUGAGUAGCGAGGCGGUGAGUAUAGGCAGUUUGGCAUAUAUUCCUAUUGGGGAGAUACCUCUUGCACUUGAUGUUCAGGCCUUAGACAACCGGUUCGUGAGGUUGGAUAUUUUGGAGCCCAUUCAAAUCUUAGCUUGUGUGGUUUCCCAGUCUUCCUUGUUCAAUUGCAUCAGAGAGCGCCAUAUGAUUCUCAUUUACUUGUCCUCAAGGAUAGAGUUCAGCACGACGAUAACAGAGAUAUGACUAUUGGUUAUGAUGGGGUAUUAAGGAUAUAUGGCCGGAUAUGUAUGCCCAAUGUAGAUGGGCUUCGUGUGUUGAUUCUGGGGGAGGCCCAUAGCUCGCAGUAUUCCAUCCAUUCGGGGUGCCGCGAAGAUGUAUCAGGAUUUGAUACAACACUACUAGUAGAGAAGAAUGAAGAGAUAUAGUGGGAUUUGUAUCUCAGUGUCUCAAUUGUAAGCAAGUGAAAUAUGAGCAUCAAAGACCGAGUUGCUUGUUACAGUAGAUAGAUAUUCCAAAGUGGAAGUGGGAGCAGAUCACCAUGGAUUUUGUAGUUAGAAUCCCACAGACUUUGAGGAAUCUCGACAUACUUUGAGGAAUCUCGAUGCUAUUUGGGUGAUUGUGGAUCGACUGACCAAGUCCGUGCACUUCAUUUCGAUGUGUACUACCUAUUCUUGAGAGUGAUAAGCUGAGAUUUAUAUUUGAGAGAUUGUUCGCCUGCAUGGUGUCCCAGUUUCCAUCAUUUCAGAUGGAGGUACUCAGUUUACAUUGCAGUUUUGGAGAGGCGUGCAGCGAGAGUUGGGAACUCUGGUAGAGUUUAGCACAAAUUUUCACCCUCAGAUGGAUGGACAAUCCGAGCGCACUAUUUAGAUAUUGGAGGACAUGUGGCGCACUUGUGUCAUUGAUUUUAGGGGUUCAUGGGACCAGUUUCUACCACUUGUAGAGUUUUCAUAUUUAUAUGGCUCCAUAUGAGGCAUUAUAUUGGAGACAUUGCAGAUCUCCAGUAUUUUGGUUUGAGACAGGUGAGGCUAGACUUUUGGGUACAGACCUGGUACAAGAUGCUUUGGACAAGGUGAACGUGAUUCAGGAGCGUCUCCGUACAACGCAGUGGAGACUAAAGAGAUAUGCUGACAGGAAGGUCUAUGAUGUGUCUUACAUGGUUGGUGAGAAUAGUUUGCUAAAGGAUUCACCCGUGAAGGGUAUUAUGAGAUUUGAGAAGAAGGGUAUAUUGAGUCCUCGGUUCAUUUGGGCUUUUGAGGUGCUUCAGAGGAUUAGGGAUGUGGCUUAUGAGCUUGCUUUGCCAUCUAGCUUGUCGAGCCUGCAUCAAGUAUUUCAUGUUUCUAUGUUCUAGAAGUAUAUUGGUGAUCCGUCUCAUAUUUUGAAUUCAGCACGGUUCAGUUAGACGGUGAUUUGACUUAUGAGGUAGAGUCAGUGGCUAUUUAGGAGUGGCAUAUCCAAAAGUUGACAUCAAAGGAGAUAUCUUUGGUGAAAAUGCAGUGGAGAGGUCGGCCCAUGGAGAAGGCUACUUGGGAGACUAAGCGGGAGAUGUGGAGCAUAUAUCCACACAUGUUUGAGGUUUCAGAUAUGUUUCUUGACUCGUUCGAAAACAAACAUUUGUUUAAGAGGGGAAGGGUGUAACGACCCGGCCGGCUGUUUCAUAAGUUACAGUCAUAUUUUCCCAAUUUCAUCUUCCUUGUGUGUUGUUUAGUUGUAUUUCAUCAUAUCGUGUUGGUAAUGGUGUGUUUAGAGUGGAAUUUGAGUGGAAUGAGACACUUAGUUUCUUAUUUGGAAGCUUAAGUUGGAAAACUAAACCGGACAUUGACUUAUAUGUAGAAGAUCUCAUAUGUUAAUUCUGAUGGUUCAGAUAGCUUCGUUAAGUGAUUUUGAACUUAGCAGCGUGUUUGUAAUGUAAUUUGGAGGUCUGUGGUAGUUAGGCUUGAAUUGGCAAAAUUAAAAAUUUUAUAUUUUUCGAUCGGCAGUGAAAAUCUUGAUAUCGGGUCGGAAUGGGAUUUCGGAAAUUCCAGCAGAUCCGUUACAUCAUUUGUGAUGUGUUGCAAAAUUUUAGGUUAUUUGGAUGAACUUUGAUAGGUUUCAACAUCAUUUGCAGAAUCGAAAGUUUGGUGUUUUGAUGUUGUUUUGAGUGUUUUGAGGGCAGGAAGAAGUUUAAAUGGUGAUAUAUGACUUGUUCGUAUGUUUGGUUGAGGUCCCAAGGGCCUCGAGUUAAUUUUGGGAGGUUGACGCAUCAAGGAUGAGAUUUGAGAAAGUGUUAAAGAAUUCCUUCAGAUGUCAUACCGCAUUGUGGAGUGGGGACCGUAGGUGCAAGGUCCGCAAAACCGAAUGAGCAGCUGCAGAAGAGGGUAAGGCUAAGGAAGCAGGAACCGCAGGUGCGCGCAUGACAUUGAACCUGCGAGAUCUUGACCGCAAAAGCGGUUUUCGAGGGUUAAGUGAAAACCACACCUGCGAUGGAUUUUUCGCAGGUGCGGCAUCGCAGAUGCGACUAAUGGACCGCAUAUGCAGAUGUUCUGGGCAAAAAGCAUCGAAGUUCCCCUCCGUGAAUAUUAUUCAUUUUUCCAUCAUUUUUGGACGAUUUUGGAGCUCGAAGCAGUGAUUUCAAGAGGUAAUCGAGGGGUUUCAGUGAGGCAAGCUACUCGGGCUUUGUAUUUUGUGUUUGUGAUGAUUUUUUCACUGCCUAUUCAUCAAAUUUGUGGGGAAUUUGGGGUGAAGUUAAUGGAUUAGGGCUUGAGUUUUGGUGAGCUUUCACAGGGGAUUUGAGGGAACAUUCGAGGUCCGAUUUUAGUGGUUUUGAUAUGUAUAGACUCAAGAGUGAAAGGAGUUUCUAAUUUUGUAAGUUUUAUUGAAUUUCGAGCUCGGGGGCCGAGUUUGAGUCCCAUUCGAGAUUGUUUGUCUAAUUUGAUUAUUUUUGUGGGGAAUUCAUUCCUUUAGCAUAUAUUGAUGAUAAUAUUAUGAUUUUGGUUAGAUUCGAAACAUUUGAAGGUCGAGUCAAAAGGCAAGGGCAUCACAGGUUAGAGUUUUGUCUGGUUUGAGUAGGUAAUGGCUGUAAAUCUUGUGCUGAGGGUAUAAAACCCCGGAUUGCACAUCGUUUCACUACUUUGAUGUGACGCACAUGCUAGAUGACGAGCGUGAGGGUGUGCAUCCUUGGGAUCGUGACUGGGUCCAUCUCGUAGCAAUUACUAAGUUGCAUAUUUGACCAGAAACUAUCUGAUACUUAAAAUUUACGAAGUAUUAGUAUGUUCUGGGCUAAAUGUCACAUUUGGGCCUUGUGCCAAGCUAUUUGGACCCUUAGGGUCUUUUUACUACUAUUCCUCGCUGUUUUGAUUUAAUGUAUGUACUCAGUCAUGCUAUAUUUUACUGAUUUCAUAACUCAUUCUUAUUUAUUCUGAUUUGAUGCAUAAAAUGAUAUUUUGGGCUGAGCAUCCUAUUUUAUUGUUAGCCUGAGUGGCUUGAGAGGUUUCUGAUUGAGUAAGGUCGAUGGCCUAUGUCGUGAGGAUAUCAUGGGAUUGGGCUGCACACCGUAGCAUACUAUAUUGUGUUGUGAUAUAUGAGAGGUCGAAGACCCGAUUUAUUAUGUCACAAGAUCGCUUGUUAUAGCGCUUGGGCUGUAGGAGCCCAUGCGUAAUCUGUACACCCCCACUAAGCACGGGUACUGAGUGAGUGAUAUGAUGUUUCUUGAGAGGUUGUUCUUGAUUCAUGUUGUGCCUGAGGGGCUGAUUAUGAGUGGUUGUGAGGUUGCCCGAGGGGCUGAUUUUGAGUGAUGUUAUGCCAGAGGGGCAGUUUAUAAUACAUGUGUUUCCCGGGGGGCUAUUUAUGAUUUUUAUCAUUUUUACUCUAAACUCCAUUGAAACUCUAUUGAAACUAUUAGGAAGAUAUUUUACUGAAAUUGGAUUUUAACGAUGUGAUUUGAAAUAUAUAUUGUUUUGAAAAUUUAUUGUACUUAUUGUGGUGUUAUGACAUGGAGUUAUGUGUUUUUUACCGCUCAGUUUUUCUUUACUUUUAUUGCUUACUUGGUUGGCAUACUCAUAUUACUCCCUGCACCUUGUGUGCAGAUCCAGGAGUUGCGGGUCGUGAUAGAGAGCCAUGAUCCUUCAUCCGGGAUAUCCAGAGUCCGCAAGGUAGCUGCAUGGCGAUUACAGCCUUGCUCUUC